This 212-nucleotide ribosomal RNA is filed under the name uncultured bacterium. Its description in RNAcentral is "partial 16S ribosomal RNA". It matches the Rfam family "Bacterial small subunit ribosomal RNA", at positions 1288 to 1500 of the family's 1533-position model. The record is from RNAcentral.
ACGUUCGGAUUGCAGCCUGCAACUCGGCUGCAUGAAGCUGGAAUCGCUAGUAAUCGCGGAUCAGAACGCCGCGGUGAAUACGUUCCCGGGUCUUGUACACACCGCCCGUCACACCAUGGGAGCCGGAAACGCCCGAAGCCAGCGGCCCAACCGCAAGGGGGGAGCUGUCGAAGGCGGGGCCGGUGACCGGGGUGAAGUCGUAACAAGGUACC